Molecule: ribosomal RNA, 407 nt
Filed under: uncultured bacterium
Lineage: Bacteria
Description: partial 16S ribosomal RNA
Rfam family: Bacterial small subunit ribosomal RNA
Source: RNAcentral
AUUGAACGCUGGCGGCAGGCUUAACACAUGCAAGUCGAGCGGAGCGGCGGACGGGUGAGUAAUGCCUAGGAAUCUGCCUGGUAGUGGGGGAUAACGUCCGGAAACGGGCGCUAAUACCGCAUACUAUCAGAUGAGCCUAGGUCGGACUAGCUAGUUGGUGGGGUAAAGGCCUACCAAGGCGACGAUCGGUAACUGGUCUGAGAGGAUGAUCAGUUCCACUGGAGCUGAGACACGGUCCAGGCUCCUCCGGGAGGCAGCAGUGGGGAAUAUUGGACAAUGGGCGGAAGCCUGGUCCAGCCAUGCCGCGUGUGUGAAGAAGGUCUUCGGAUUGUAAAGCACUUUAAGUUGGGAGGCGUUACCAGCAGAAUAAGCACCGGCUAACUUCGUGCCAGCAGCCGCGGUAAUUC